UUCCGGAAACAAAGGGGAAGGCGGGGCGCUUGUGUGAUGUCCUGGCGCGCGCCGCCGCCGCCGCCGCCGCCACCGCCCCCUGAGAGCUACGCGAGGGGAGCGGCUCCCGGCCAGCUCGUGCUGGAGGAGCGCGGGGGCGGGGCCCGGUUUGUGGUUAAAGGGGAAUAAAAGCCUCGUUCGGAAAGGGGCUAAAGCCAAGCGGUGCCGGGCUGAGGAAGCCACGCGCGUGUCUGAGGCGCGUGUCGCGGGUCUGGAGCCUUUGCCAAAAAAAAAAAAAAAAAAAAAGAGGAAAUUGCCCAACGACCCCUUCCCCCGAUAAAUAAUAUGCUUCCCUGACCACAGAUUAAACCUGGGCCAUUUUGCAGAUAUCUCCACUAGUGUAUCCAGUGCAUACAAACUGAAACCUUCAUAUAGUUGAAGCAAAAAUGGGAGUUCCAUAAAGGAAUUCCAAAAUGGACUUCACCAGCAAAUUGAGAAUCUGGAGACGUGUUUGAGUGCUGAGACGGAAAAGGAGAUAACCUACCCAAGCAAUGAGAACCUCCUGCUCACCAGCCUCAAACUGAAGAGAUAAUUCUAGACAAUAGAUGAUUUCCUGAAAGAAAAGCAAUACUGCCGGUGUGCCAGGAGAUCAUCCGUGCGGAAAUAUCCAGAUGUUUUCUCAUUCUUGACAUACUGACAAAUCGGCUUAAAAACGAAGCACGUGAUACUUCAAGUAAUGAUGUUAUGAAAACCGCUGAGUGACACUGUACUUCCAUUGGAAUUUGUUGUCUCUACAAGCACUACCUUUCGAGACUCUCAUCAAUUCAUUUUGCAUUAAGCAAGUGACUAACUACUACAAAAAUCUAAUUGCACAGUUUACUUACUACUAGAUAUUGCUGGAUUGAUUCACUCACGUGAGAAUAUGUAAAACAGAAGAUAUUGCUCCAAACAAGCCAAAACAAAAUGAAGUCUGUGAAUAGGAGAAAAGCUUUAUGAUUUCUUAAUCAUCAUUGAUAUUAUGUCAUUGCUCAGAAUUUGCUUUGGGCUGCUCUUAAAAAUGAAAUCAUACCCCUGAACUAUAACUGGCUUUGCUUCAGCAUUACAAAUGUGAACCAGGACAACUUCCAAACAAAAUGGAAGGAUAAUUUUCCUGUAAGGUCAGAAUGAAGAGAGAGACUUUAUGCCUCUCAAAAUGGUUCUUAAGCUCAGAAAGACCUAGAAAGAGACUGCCAAAGUGGCCACCCAGGCGAUCAUCCAACAGAUUCCUUACAUCUUGUGCCAAAUUCCCUUCCUAGCUGCCUGGAAUGACAGUCCCAUUCAAAGAUCGUAACAUGGACUCGUAAGAAAAUGGAGCUUCUGGAGGCCUGUUUCACUGCAAGGAUAAAAAAAAAGACACAAGUAUAUCCCAAUUUAUAGGUUACUUAUAAUGGGGUGUACUGGAAUUUUAAGCUAGUGCGACUAUAUAGUCUCUUCCUGCACUGUGAAAAUAUUUUCAGAUCAUUUUACUGUAUGUGUAAAAGUAUUUUUAUGUUCCAAAUUCUAUGUAUUUAUAAUAUUUAUUGCUGUUAUUUAUCUUUUUCAGAGAUAUUUUAUAAUAUUUCUAAAUAUGUAUUUAUUUAAACAAAAUUGGAACCUAAACCAGUAGUGAUAGGUAUUAGUAAGAUUUUUUUUUAAAAAGAUCCAAUAAAAAUCUCUUGUUCUGCUGUAUGA
Long non-coding RNA from Dermochelys coriacea (leatherback sea turtle), 1689 nucleotides. RefSeq lists it as uncharacterized. The transcript is spliced from 4 exons. Lineage: Eukaryota; Metazoa; Chordata; Testudines; Dermochelyidae. The record is from RefSeq and is a predicted model, not a curated record.